This 460-nucleotide ribosomal RNA is filed under the name uncultured bacterium. RNAcentral's name for it is "partial 16S ribosomal RNA". It matches the Rfam family "Bacterial small subunit ribosomal RNA", at positions 338 to 795 of the family's 1533-position model. The record is from RNAcentral.
CCUACGGGUGGCAGCAGUGAGGAAUAUUGGUCAAUGGGCGCGAGCCUGAACCAGCCAAGUCGCGUGAGGGAAGACGGUCCUAUGGAUUGUAAACCUCUUUUGUCGGGGAGCAAAAGACGUCACGUGUGGCGCCACUGAGAGUACCCGGAGAAAAAGCAUCGGCUAACUCCGUGCCCGCAGCCGCGGUAAUACGGAGGAUGCGAGCGUUAUCCGGAUUUAUGGGGUUUAAAGGGUGCGUAGGCGGAUCGUUAAGUCAGUGGUCAAAUUGAGGGGCUCAACCCCUUCCCGCCAUUGAAACUGGCGCUCUUGAGUGGAAGAGAAGUAUGCGGAAUGCGUGGUGUAGCGGUGAAAUGCAUAGAUAUCACGCAGAACCCCGAUUGCGAAGGCAGCAUGCCGGCUUCCGACUGACGCUGAAGCACGAAAGCGUGGGGAUCGAACAGGAUUAGAUACCCUGGUAGUC